RNAcentral lists this long non-coding RNA (1534 nucleotides) under Lynx pardinus (Iberian lynx). Lineage: Eukaryota; Metazoa; Chordata; Mammalia; Carnivora; Felidae. The record is from RNAcentral.
AUUUUUGAGAUAGUAUGCAAAUCAUAAGCACAGUUUCAAUAAAACACAUAUUCUGUGAGGCAUGUUGAACUUGUAUUAUUUGGAAUUGAGAAGAGCAAAACUUGCUGACAAAACAGUGCCCAUAUCAUAAACAGAAAGUAGCUGUUCCUGCACAGACUGUCCGUCUUUACUUUCAUAAAGGGUACAUAAUUGUUAAACCUGACUACAUCUUUUGGGGGGAAAUCCUAUGCUUUUAUUUAAAUGAACACUUAGUGUUUCACACUGCCUUUUGAUCAACUCUCAAAGUGUUUGUUUUGCAGCUGCAAUUUGAGCGUGACCGGUCAUUUCCGCACCCUCCACCCCAAGUAAUGAAAACAAUUUUGCAUGGCCUCCAUCUAACCCAGAAAGCAUGUUCUUACCACCUAUGCAAACAACGAAUACAAAAUGUGGGGUACACUAAAUGUGAAUUUUAAAAGCGAUUCUUGGAUUAUGGAGCUCUAUUUUUGAAUUUGUAAUUUUUUACAUGUGGCUUAAUCAUCAAUAGAGAAGAGCAUGAAUGUGUUUUCUUGUUUUGCUUUGCACAUGUUUCUCUUUGCUGAUUUUUUUUUAUCGUUGGCAAGAUUGUAUGAAAAUAAGUAUUUUGCAAGCACGAGUGGAAUUGGAUAUGUUGAACACACACGGGUUUAUAUACUGUAUUUAGCCUGAAGACUUUCCUAAAGUAUUUUGUUCUAAAAAUAACCUGCCAUUUUCUAUAGAUUUUAAUUUUUUAUAUCUUCUAGGGUUCUAUCGUGGUCACAAGGAGAGAAUGUGGCUUCUAAUAGUGCUAACAAUUUUAAAAUGCUUUUGUAGAGACUUAGAGCUGUUUUGGAAAGCUGUGGAGCUUUGCAGCCACUGGUCACAAUAAGAAUAAGCUCAUGGAACUUAUGGUAGCAGUCUACAGUGGAUUAGGUUCUAGAUCCAUCUCACAUUCAUUUAAAAACUGGUGUUUCCCAGUUUUGGAGGGAAGGGAGAUCCAUUGCAGGCUCGGGAGGCUUUUUGAGUCUCAUACGUGUACUUUCCCCAAGAUUCUGUUAAGCCUCUUCUGAAUGACUUGUCUGAGAUUCUGAUACCCAGCAUUCACUAGAAUCAUCUAGAGAACUUUUAAAAAUGCUUGGGUCCCACUCCCAAGCUUUUGAUCUAAUUAGUAUAGGGGCAGGUCCCAGAAGUUGCCGUACAUUUUAAAGCUCUUGGGGGUUUCUGAUAUGUAGUCAGAACUGAGAACCACUGUGCUUACACCAUCCCUAUGGUGAGAAUCACUGCCAUGUGAAGCACUCAGGAGUGACUCAGUCUCCUCUGUUUCGUUGGAGAAGAAAGGAAAAAAAGAUUGAGAAUUACUGAUAUUAACAUCCUGUUUGAAAUAAGGGAGCCUUUCUGAUUUGAGGCCCUGUUUGGGAGCUUGGAGCAUUUUGUGAGCAGCCCAGCACUUUUGCCACUCUGGUGGGAUUUGGUGGUCUUUAGUUUGCUAGAUGAGACAGAGUUCCCUGUGGGGUGUGCAUCUUUCCCAGAGCCUUUUCCC